AACAUGCCUACAGAAAGAAGAUGUAAGGACAAAAGCAAGGAAGUUUCUUAGAAGGGGAUUCCUCUCCACUUUCAGAAAAUACUGAUGAACACAGUAGAAAAAAAUACGGAUGUUUUUCAAUACUAUACACACAUAAACAGACACCCUCAUGACUUACACUGUUCAUGUCAGUAUGCACUGUACACAGUGACAGAAACGUUUGAGGACACACCCUCAGGU
Molecule: long non-coding RNA, 219 nt
Organism: Corvus hawaiiensis (hawaiian crow)
Lineage: Eukaryota; Metazoa; Chordata; Aves; Passeriformes; Corvidae
Exons: 3
Source: RefSeq, a predicted model, not a curated record